Molecule: ribosomal RNA, 494 nt
Filed under: uncultured bacterium
Lineage: Bacteria
Description: partial 16S ribosomal RNA
Rfam family: Bacterial small subunit ribosomal RNA
Source: RNAcentral
GACGAACGCUGGCGGCGUGCUUAACACAUGCAAGUCGAACGGUGAAGCGCCUUCCUUUUUGGUGGGUGUGGAUGAGUGGCGAACGGGUGAGUAACACGUGAGUAACCUGCCCCCUUCUUCUGGAUAACCGCAUGAAAGUGUGGCUAAUACGGGAUAUUCUGGGUCUGUCGCAUGAUGGGUCUGGGAAAGAUAUUGUUUCGGUGGGGGAUGGGCUCGCGGCCUAUCAGCUUGUUGGUGGGGUGAUGGCCUACCAAGGCGGUGACGGGUAGCCGGCCUGAGAGGGUGCACGGUCACACUGGGACUGAGACACGGCCCAGACUCCUACGGGAGGCAGCAGUGGGUAAUAUUGCACAAUGGGCGCAAGCCUGAUGCAGCGACGCCGCGUGAGGGAUGGAGGCCUUCGGGUUGUGAACCUCUUUCGCCAGUGAAGCAGGCCUGCCUCGUUUGUGGGUGGGUUGACGGUAGCUGGAUAAGAAGCGCCGGCUAACUACGUG